AAUGCUUUUCAGUCUUUGGGCUAAGAUCAAGUAUAGUAUUGGUCUUCUCAGUUUAGUAUCUGCUAUGUCUUCUAUCUGAGAACACUAUUUAAAUGGACUUUUGAGCAAGAAGAUAGAAUUAGACCUUGCUCCAUCCGCUCCAUGCCUGGGCCUGAUGCAGUCCCC
Molecule: small nuclear RNA, 165 nt
Filed under: Nannospalax galili (Upper Galilee mountains blind mole rat)
Lineage: Eukaryota; Metazoa; Chordata; Mammalia; Rodentia; Spalacidae
Description: U2 spliceosomal RNA (ENSNGAG00000003715.1)
Rfam family: U2 spliceosomal RNA
About the family: U2 is a small nuclear RNA (snRNA) component of the spliceosome (involved in pre-mRNA splicing). Complementary binding between U2 snRNA (in an area lying towards the 5' end but 3' to hairpin I) and the branchpoint sequence (BPS) of the intron results the bulging out of an unpaired adenosine, on the BPS, which initiates a nucleophilic attack at the intronic 5' splice site, thus starting the first of two transesterification reactions that mediate splicing.
Source: RNAcentral